RNAcentral lists this non-coding RNA (64 nucleotides) under unclassified sequences. RNAcentral's name for it is "pemK RNA". It matches the Rfam family "pemK RNA". The record is from RNAcentral.
CUAACGAUACUUCUGUAAUUCGCAGCCCGGCCACAAAGAAGGCGGGGACGUUCAAUUCCUAUGG